CACAGUGAGAAGAGCUGAUUGAAAUUCAUGGUGUAGUCUUAUCAACUAUGAGUCAGAAGAAAAGAAGCACUAAAUCACUUAAUGAUUGUCUUUUCAAGCAAGCAAAAGAAAUGGGGGAAGGAAAGGAAUGAUACUGACAGAGCAGAUGGAUGAGAUCAAUGAUUGCUUUCAGAAGAUUAACAAUAGGUCAGCAAACAUACUGUGG
RNAcentral lists this long non-coding RNA (205 nucleotides) under Ictidomys tridecemlineatus (thirteen-lined ground squirrel). RNAcentral's name for it is "lncRNA (ENSSTOG00000031060.1)". The record is from RNAcentral. Lineage: Eukaryota; Metazoa; Chordata; Mammalia; Rodentia; Sciuridae.